AUGAACGCUAGCUACAGGCUUAACACAUGACAAGUCGAGGGGAAACGACAUCGAAAGCUUGCUUUUGAUGGCGUCGACCGGCGCACGGGUGAGUAACGCGUAUCCAACCUGCCCACCACUUGGAGAUAACCUUGCGAAAGUAAGACUAAUACCCAAUGACGUCUCUAGAAGACAUCUGAAAGAGAUUAAAGAUUUUAUCGGUGAUGGAUGGGGAUGCGUCUGAUUAGCUUGUUGGCGGGGUAACGGCCCACCAAGGCGACGAUCAGUAGGGGUUCUGAGAGGAAGGUCCCCCACAUUGGAACUGAGACACGGUCCAAACUCCUACGGGAGGCAGCAGUGAGGAAUAUUGGUCAAUGGACGCAAGUCUGAACCAGCCAAGUAGCGUGCAGGAUGACGGCCCUAUGGGUUGUAAACUGCUUUUUAUGCGGGGAUAAAGUGUGGGACGUGUCCCAUAUUGUAGGUACCGCAUGAAUAAGGACCGGCUAAUUCUGUG
This 493-nucleotide ribosomal RNA is filed under the name uncultured bacterium. Its description in RNAcentral is "bacterial SSU rRNA". It matches the Rfam family "Bacterial small subunit ribosomal RNA", at positions 29 to 507 of the family's 1533-position model. The record is from RNAcentral.